RNAcentral lists this ribosomal RNA (468 nucleotides) under uncultured bacterium. RNAcentral's name for it is "partial 16S ribosomal RNA". It matches the Rfam family "Bacterial small subunit ribosomal RNA", at positions 28 to 507 of the family's 1533-position model. The record is from RNAcentral.
GACGAACGCUGGCGGCGUGCUUAACACAUGCAAGUCGAACGGAAAGGCCCUGCUUUUGUGGGGUGCUCGAGUGGCGAACGGGUGAGUAACACGUGAGUAACCUGCCCUUGACUUUGGGAUAACUUCAGGAAACUGGGGCUAAUACCGGAUAGGAGCUCCUGCUGCAUGGUGGGGGUUGGAAAGUUUCGGCGGUUGGGGAUGGACUCGCGGCUUAUCAGCUUGUUGGUGGGGUAGUGGCUUACCAAGGCUUUGACGGGUAGCCGGCCUGAGAGGAUGACCGGCCACAUUGGGACUGAGAUACGGCACAGACUCCUACGGGAGGCAGCAGUGGGGAAUAUUGCACAAUGGGCGGAAGCCUGAUGCAGCAACGCCGCGUGCGGGAUGACGGCCUUCGGGUUGUAAACCGCUUUCGCCUGUGACGAAGCGUGAGUGACGGUAAUGGGUAAAGAAGCACCAGCUAACUACGUG